RNAcentral lists this ribosomal RNA (506 nucleotides) under uncultured bacterium. RNAcentral describes it as "bacterial SSU rRNA". It matches the Rfam family "Bacterial small subunit ribosomal RNA", at positions 15 to 518 of the family's 1533-position model. The record is from RNAcentral.
GAUUAUGGCUCAGGAUGAACGCUAGCUACAGGCUUAACACAUGCAAGUCGAGGGGUAGCAGGGUAGCAAUACCGCUGACGACCGGCGCACGGGUGAGUAACACGUAUCCAACCUUCCCAUAACUCAGGGAUAGCCUUUCGAAAGAAAGAUUAAUACCUGAUAGUACUUUUUCAAGGCAUCUUGAAAAAGUUAAAGAUUUAUUGGUUAUGGAUGGGAUGCGUUCCAUUAGAUAGUUGGUGAGGUAACGGCUCACCAAGUCUUCGAUGGAUAGGGGUUCUGAGAGGAAGGUCCCCCACAUUGGUACUGAGACACGGACCAAACUCCUACGGGAGGCAGCAGUGAGGAAUAUUGGUCAAUGGGCGAGAGCCUGAACCAGCCAAGUAGCGUGAAGGAAUGAAGGUCCUAUGGAUUGUAAACUUCUUUUAUAGUAGAAUAAAGUGAUCCACGUGUGGAUUUUUGUAUGUAUACUAUGAAUAAGGAUCGGCUAACUCCGUGCCAGCCGCGGC